AGGGUUUGAUCAUGGCUCAGGACGAACGCUGGCGGCGUGCUUAAGACAUGCAAGUCGUACGAGAAAGUCACUUCGGUGGCGAGUAAAGUGGCGCACGGGUGAGUAACGCGUGGAUAAUCUGCCCUUAGGUUUGGGAUAACCCCGGGAAACCGGAGCUAAUACCGAAUGAGACCACGAUGACUUCGGUCGAUGUGGGAAAAGGUGGCCUCUUCUUGAAAGCCAUCGCCAAAGGAUGAGUCCGCGUUUGAUUAGCUAGUUGGUGAGGUAAAGGCUCACCAAGGCUCCGAUCAAUAGCUGGUCCGAGAGGACGACCAGCCACACUGGAACUGAGACACGGUCCAGACUCCUGCGGGAGGCAGCAGUCGGGAAUAUUGGGCAAUGGAGGAAACUCUGACCCAGCAACGCCGCGUGAAGGAUGAAGGCCUUCGGGUCGUAAACUUCUGUCGAGAGGGAAGAAACACGUACGGUUAAUAUCCGUGCGUCUGACGGUACCUCCAAAGGAAGCACCGGCUAACUCCGUGCCAGCAGCCGCGGUAAUACGGAGGGUGCAAGCGUUGUUCGGAUUUAUUGGGCGUAAAGCGAGUGUAGGCGGUUUGACAAGUCGGGUGUGAAAUCCCAGGGCCCAACCCUGGAACUGCAUCCGAUACUGUCAGGCUAGAGUCCCGGA
Molecule: ribosomal RNA, 667 nt
Filed under: uncultured bacterium
Lineage: Bacteria
Description: bacterial SSU rRNA
Rfam family: Bacterial small subunit ribosomal RNA
Source: RNAcentral